This 29-nucleotide small RNA is filed under the name Bombyx mori (domestic silkworm). Its description in RNAcentral is "ovarian small RNA-31297". Lineage: Eukaryota; Metazoa; Arthropoda; Insecta; Lepidoptera; Bombycidae. The record is from RNAcentral.
UGACAACCCGGUAAUGCUAUCGACGAGUC